This 2330-nucleotide long non-coding RNA is filed under the name Mus musculus (house mouse). RNAcentral's name for it is "long non-coding RNA chr15:68995910-68998240". The record is from RNAcentral. Lineage: Eukaryota; Metazoa; Chordata; Mammalia; Rodentia; Muridae.
AGCUUACAUUUUCCUGAUGAGUAACAGCAUUGUAUGUUUGUGUCUGCUGUUAUAAAGGUCACAACUUUUUUGACCCAUCUAUCUCUUGGCUGCAUGCAUAUUGAUGGCUGACUGGGAGGAACUAUUUACAUGGUCUAGGUACAAGUCCUUUCUCCAGCUUGCAUUUGGAAAUGUUUAGCUCAGUCUGUGGCUUAGUGUAUUUUGGUAGAAUCUUACUUUGAGGAGUCUCUAAUUUUUUAAGUAUUUUGUUUUAUGUUAUAUCAUCCUUCAAUAAACUUAAAUCUUGAUCAUUCUCAGAAAAAAUAUUAAAAUCAUUACUAAAUUGUAAAUACAUUCUCCUUUUCUUAUGAGAACUUCUUCAAUUAUCAUUUUAGCUUUUACAUUAACGGUGGUGGUGAAUCUCAAAUGGGUUUUGUAAAUUGUAAGUUAGAGGUUAAAUGUGUCCUCCAGCAAUCCCUCUGUAGGAAACUCAACCCUCAACUUUCCUGUCAAUCACAUUUGGAGGUGGGACCUUUGGAAGGCGCUAGAAUUAGACAGUUCAUGAAGGAGGAUGUCACAUUGAUGACAGGUGCUGCUUAUAAAAGGAAAAUGACUCAGGGGGUACAGUGUUUGUUGUUUAGGUAUAAGGCCUCUUGUUCAGGUCUCCAGCCCCCAUGUAAAGGCUGCCAUAGCGGCACUUUGUAACUUUAUCAGGUUGGGUGGAUGCAGGAAGCCAGCUAGUCCAGCCAAAAUAAUGAGCUAUGGAUUUCCUAAGAGAUUCUGUCUCAAAAACUAAGUGGAAAGCAACUGAGGAAGAGAACAGACAUUAAUCACUCCCCAAACACCUGUGGACAUUUGACUUACACACAUACUGAAAUAAAAUAAAAAGAAAACGAGGCGGGAGAGUGACCUAAACUAGUGUGCUUGCUCUCUGUGUGGGAUGUUGGCAGCCAUGUUGAACAGAAGAUUGAAUUCCCUCAAAAUGGUAAGGUGGCCAUUCUCCAGUGGAAAGCCACACUACCAAGAAUAUUUCCGGAGUACAAAUUGGUUUUGAAGAGUUUUAAAUUAGCAGGGGCGAAGGCAGACACAAAGAUGGUUGGGUAGGUUUGGAAUGUGGAUUAAUUAAAACAAAACAAAACAAAACAAAACAAAACAAAACUCCCAAAACUGCAAAUUCUGGUACUCUGCUCUUGGAUGGCUCAGCCUACAGAAUGCUUAGCCAAUAAACGUCCACUCAUUAUAGGUUACCUCUGUUGAAGGAUGAUGCUGCAGCCACAGAAGAUGGAGUGAGGCAAGAGUCAACUUUAGCUGGAAUGAAAUGGCUGAGGAAGUGAGGUUUAUUUUCUUUGUUCUGUUCCAUUGAUGCAUUUAUGGAUCUUAUGCCAGGACCAGUCUUGUUUGCUGAAGCUUUUUAUGGAGAGCCAUGAAUUUAAAAUUGCUCCAGUUUUGACCUUCUUUUUUCAGGAUUACUUUCAUAUAUUCUGGAUCUUUUGCAGUUCCAUAUAAAUUUACGAAUUCUUUCAUGGAUCUCUACACAGUGACCUGCUGUGCUCUGGCUGCACUUGGGUUGUGUCUGUUGGUGGCUCUGGGUACUGUGCCAGCUUCCCAGCUCUUACUCGCCGUUUCUGAGUGUGGGGUGGCUGUCCGUUCCUGUAGAGAUGCUCAGAUUCUUCUCAAUAGCAUUCAUUACCUUCCUGGUGCAUGUCAUCUGUGCCUGUCUGAAUAUUCAUGGUUAUUCACUACCAGAAAUUGGAUUAUUGUCUGAGUUUGUAACACACCAUUUGUUCUCUUUAUUGUCCAUUUUUUCUUUCUUUUGCUAUAUUACUAAUUUUACAAAAUUGUUUGAUAGAUCUGUUAGGAUCUUUAGUUUCAUAAUCACACUGACUAUGAGGAUCUUUGCUUCUUAUUUAUAUUUCUGAUGAAAUACUCAACACAAGCGGUGAGGUGGGAACCCUUUACUUCUCAAAGAGAAACACUGUGAUUCUUUUAUCUCUCAUCAUUGCUUUACAUUUGUUGGUGAAGUUUAUAAGAACAACUUUAUAUGAGCUUUUAAUUUCACAUUCUUGCUUCUGUUGCACACACCUGUCUCUGAUGUUUGUGUAUAGUCAGGAUAGAACGCAGAUAUUCCUGUGAACUCUCCCUGCCAUACCUGUUACCUACUUUUGUCACAGGUAACGUACUGCAUUUUUAUAAUGUGGGAAGGCUACUUAAUAAGCAGAUUAAGCCAGUCUUAAAAUAAUAUUAGCCCUUUAAAAUGUAAGGUAGUCUAUAUGACUUGCUCUUAGACUUGUGAGUGGUCAAAACUUUCAGUCUAAUUGCUAUGAUUCCACAAAUACAAACUAGUUUUAAAA